CCUACGGGAGGCAGCAGUGGGGAAUUUUGGACAAUGGGCGCAAGCCUGAUCCAGCCAUGCCGCGUGCGGGAAGAAGGCCUUCGGGUUGUAAACCGCUUUUGUCAGGGAAGAAAAGGUUCUGGCUAAUACCUGGGACUCAUGACGGUACCUGAAGAAUAAGCACCGGCUAACUACGUGCCAGCAGCCGCGGUAAUACGUAGGGUGCAAGCGUUAAUCGGAAUUACUGGGCGUAAAGCGUGCGCAGGCGGUUAUGCAAGACAGAGGUGAAAUCCCCGGGCUCAACCUGGGAACUGCCUUUGUGACUGCAUAGCUAGAGUACGGUAGAGGGGGAUGGAAUUCCGCGUGUAGCAGUGAAAUGCGUAGAUAUGCGGAGGAACACCGAUGGCGAAGGCAAUCCCCUGGACCUGUACUGACGCUCAUGCACGAAAGCGUGGGGAGCAAACAGGAUUAGAUACCCUGGUAGUCCACGCCCUAAACGAUGUCAACUGGUUGUUGGGAGGGUUUCUUCUCAGUAACGUAGCUAACGCGUGAAGUUGACCGCCUGGGGAGUACGGCCGCAAGGUUGAAACUCAAAGAUAGUGCGNGNGAGNGCGACGACGACGACGACGGAGGAGGAGG
RNAcentral lists this ribosomal RNA (618 nucleotides) under uncultured bacterium. RNAcentral's name for it is "bacterial SSU rRNA". It matches the Rfam family "Bacterial small subunit ribosomal RNA", at positions 338 to 944 of the family's 1533-position model. The record is from RNAcentral.